This 449-nucleotide ribosomal RNA is filed under the name uncultured bacterium. RNAcentral's name for it is "partial 16S ribosomal RNA". It matches the Rfam family "Bacterial small subunit ribosomal RNA", at positions 29 to 523 of the family's 1533-position model. The record is from RNAcentral.
AACGAACGCUGGCGGCAAGCUUAACACAUGCAAGUCGAACGAUCCCUUCGGAGGUAGUGCCAGAAGUGUGAUUAAGACGUGGGGACGUCCGUUUCAGUCAGGAGCAACUCAUGGGAAGGUGAGCUAAUAGCAGAUACGUCGUUAUGGGAAAAGAUUUAUCGCUUAAAGAUCGGCCCGCGUGUCAUUAGCUUGUUGGUGGGGUAAUGGCCUACCAAGGCGACGAUCAGUAGCUGGUCUGAGAGGAUGAUCAGCCACACUGGGACUGAGACACGGCCCAGACUCCUACGGGAGGCAGCAGUGGGGAAUAUUGGACAAUGGGGGCAAGCCCGAUCCAGCCAUGCCGCGUGAGUGAUGACGGACUUAGGUUUGUAAACCCCUUUCGACGGGGACGAUAAUGACGGUACCCGUAGAAGAAGCCCCGGCUAACUUCGUGCCAGCCGCCGCCGUAA